This 2488-nucleotide long non-coding RNA is filed under the name Gossypium barbadense (sea-island cotton). RNAcentral's name for it is "long non-coding RNA (GBAR_LNC017579)". Lineage: Eukaryota; Viridiplantae; Streptophyta; Magnoliopsida; Malvales; Malvaceae. The record is from RNAcentral.
ACAAUUGUUAUGCCAAUGUUGGAAUUGCCAAUCUCGGUUCUCAACGUCUCGUAGAAGGUGAUCAAUGCUGCCUUGCUUGCCUGAACCACAAAAUAUUUACGUUUGUAUGGUGAUGUUGGAUGAUACGGAUUGAUUGGUCAGAUUGAGAAUAAAUUAAAGUAUUAGUUCGGAGAUUGGUUCGACUUAUGAUUCAAUUUUGAAAAAGAAGAAAUGUUGGGUUAAAUAGAGAAAAUGACAAAAAAAAAAAAUGGCUUACAUUGUAAAAACUGAAGCGCGGGAAAGGAUACCAUCCAACGGAGGAAGCCAUGACAAUGAUCUUCCCUUUAGUUUUUCUUAGGUGUGGAAUGGCGUAAUAUGUGCCAAAAGCCACUCCCCACAAGUUCACGUCCUACACCGUAUGGAAAAUGUAUACAUUUAAAUUUUUAUGUAUAUAUUGCGUAUUUAAGAUUUUAUAUAUUUUUUUAAUUUUUAUAUAAUAAAAAAUAAAUUUAAUAUUUAAAAUUUUAAUUAAGUCUUAAUUCAAUUACAUUGUGUACAAAGACGUCAAUUUAAGCGUGCUUAAGCACAUAUUAUUUUUCGAUUCAAAGUUUAAAGAUUAUGAGUUUAGAUUUAAAUAUAUUAGAGUCUUAAAUAUAAAAUUUAAUCCAUGUAGUUCACUCUUGACAUUCAAUCCCCUAUAUUUUUAUUUAUAAAAUCUCAUAAUAAGUCUUUUUUGGCUUUAUAUUUUUUUUGUUGAUCAUUAUUCUUUAAAAUUUAUAAAAAAAUAAAAAAUCCUAAAAAAAUUUAAAAAUAAUAAAAAUUUUGAAAUUUAUGGAAAAAAAACGUAUCAAUUAUAAAUAACAUAAAGUUCCAAAAGUUCAAAAAGAGUAUAUUAUCUACUUUUUUAAAUUUAAAAAAUUAUUUUUUAAUAUAACUUCAAAAUUAUAUUAAAAUCUAAUUUAAUAUUAAUCAAACGAAUAGCUCUUGAAAAGACUUUAUUACCAUAAAGAACACAUUUUUCCAAAAUUUGAAAUUAUAUAUAUAUUUCUUGAAUUUUAAUAUAUGUUUUCAAAAAUAAUAUAUCUUUAAAGAAAAGUAGGAUUUUUAUAGAAAAUAUAAGAAAUUUAUAAAUUUUUAUGCCCUUGUAAAAAAUAAAAACAAAAUUAGCAAAAACUAUAUGCAUUCUAUUACCUUUUUCGUAAUUGUAAAAUUAGUGAGAAAAUCAUGAUUUUAAAACCUACAUUUAAAUGAAGAAGUAUAGAGAAUUAAUGUGUAUAGAAAUUAAAUUUUAAAAUUUGAAAGAAUAUAUGGAACUCUGUUAUAUUUAAACCUAUAUCGAAUGUCAGUAAAUCGAAUAGGCAAGAGUCAUAACUCCCUAAAAUAAGAAAAUUCUAAAAUUUAUAAAAUUAUAAGUACAAUUAUAGUCUACCCCCAAAGAAUUAUAAAAUUUUGAUUUAAUCAUUUUAAAAACUAUAAAGAUACAAAGACAACUUAAGCCUCUUUAAUCUCAACCCCUCCCUAAAAAGAUUUUUUAACUUACCCUAAACAAAAUGAUGACGAGUCACUAAAUAUGAAGUUGAGUGUACUUAUUUUUAAAACUUUUUGAUAAUUAUAAUUUGAUCCACUGUACUAUAGGUUUAAAAUGUAAAUUGAGAAGGAAUUAAAAGAAGUAAUAUAUCUUACCAGAAGAUAAGAGAAGUCAGAAAAGUUUUGGAUUUCCUCAAACAAUUUUACUCUUGCAAGGCCAGCAUUAUUAACCAAGUGAUCCACUGUUCCAUGCAUGUUUCAAAUUUCAAUUAUAAAAUAAUCAAGAACCAAACAAAUUAACAAAAGGGACAAAGGUCGAAUUAUGAUUUUAGUCCUUUAAUAUGACAAAAUUUAAUAUUUAAUCCAUAUUCUUUAAUUUCACAUAUUUCAAUCCUCUUACUUUUAGUAAAAAAAUUCCACUGUUUUGUUAUAUUAGUUCUAUGACCUGACAUAUUUGAAGACUAAAUCCAAAAAAAAAAACCAUAGAGGACCUUACACUAGGAGUUAAAUUGUAUUUUAUCUCUUUCCUAAUUUUAUCUUUUACUAAAAAAUUAGGUAAAUUAAUCUUUAUACAUUAAAUUAAAAAGCAAAUAAUUAGUCCUUUCCUUUAAAAUUUUUAUCUAUUUGUAUAGUUACAAACUUAAAAACGGAUCAGACAAUGACAUGUGACGUACCACGUAUACUUCAUAUUGCUAUAUAAAGAUAAGUUUAUAAUAAAAACAUCAAUUUGCUCUUUCACUUAAUGGUAUUUUUAUGGACUAAAUCCCAGAUCUGAGAGGAACUAAAAUAAAAAUUUGACAAAAAAAAAAAAAAAGUGUAAAGAUUUAACAUACAUCGACGAAAAUGCUUGAUUGCUUCAUCAACAAAUCUCUUGCAAUCUUCUUCCUUGGAAACAUCAGCUGUAAUGGCAAUAACAUCUGAAGAUCCAAAGCUUCUAACAUUUUCCACAACCCUUCCUAGAAGAUCCCCUCUUACGUCCACC